RNAcentral lists this ribosomal RNA (460 nucleotides) under uncultured bacterium. RNAcentral describes it as "partial 16S ribosomal RNA". It matches the Rfam family "Bacterial small subunit ribosomal RNA", at positions 338 to 795 of the family's 1533-position model. The record is from RNAcentral.
CCUACGGGUGGCAGCAGUGAGGAAUAUUGGUCAAUGGGCGGAAGCCUGAACCAGCCAAGCAGCGUGCAGGAUGACGGCGCUACGGGUUGUAAACUUCUUUUAUACGGGAAUAACGCGCCUUACGUGUAGGGCUUUGCAUGUACCGUAUGAAUAAGGACCGGCUAAUUCCGUGCCAGCAGCCGCGGUAAUACGGAGGGUCCGGGCGUUAUCCGGAUUUAUUGGGUUUAAAGGGAGCGUAGGCGGGAUGUCAAGCGUGCUGUGAAAUGUCCGGGCUCAACCCGGGCCGUGCAGCGGGAACUGGGGGGCGUGAGGUCGCGGGAGGCAGGCGGAAUGCGUGGUGUAGCGGUGAAAUGCGUAGAUAUGACGAAGAACCCCGAUUGCGAAGGCAGCUGGCUGGAGCGGAACUGACGCUGAUGCUCGAAAGCGCGGGUAUCGAACAGGAUUAGAUACCCCAGUAGUC